RNAcentral lists this ribosomal RNA (501 nucleotides) under uncultured bacterium. RNAcentral describes it as "partial 16S ribosomal RNA". It matches the Rfam family "Bacterial small subunit ribosomal RNA", at positions 30 to 523 of the family's 1533-position model. The record is from RNAcentral.
AUUGAACGCUGGCGGCAGGCUUAACACAUGCAAGUCGAGCGGGGGAAGGUAGCUUGCUACCGGACCUAGCGGCGGACGGGUGAGUAAUGCUUAGGAAUCUGCCUAUUAGUGGGGGACAACAUCUCGAAAGGGAUGCUAAUACCGCAUACGUCCUACGGGAGAAAGCAGGGGAUCUUCGGACCUUGCGCUAAUAGAUGAGCCUAAGUAGGAUUAGUUAGUUGGUGGGGUAAAGGCCUACCAAGGCGACGAUCUGUAGCGGGUCUGAGAGGAUGAUCCGCCACACUGGGACUGAGACACGGCCCAGACUCCUACGGGAGGCAGCAGUGGGGAAUAUUGGACAAUGGGGGGAACCCUGAUCCAGCCAUGCCGCGUGUGUGAAGAAGGCCUUAUGGUUGUAAAGCACUUUAAGCGAGGAGGAGGCUACUCUAGUUAAUACCUAGGGAUAGUGGACGUUACUCGCAGAAUAAGCACCGGCUAACUCUGUGCCAGCCGCCGCGGUAA